This 3071-nucleotide ribosomal RNA is filed under the name Campylobacter jejuni. RNAcentral's name for it is "23S ribosomal RNA". It matches the Rfam family "Bacterial large subunit ribosomal RNA". Lineage: Bacteria; Pseudomonadati; Campylobacterota; Epsilonproteobacteria; Campylobacterales; Campylobacteraceae. The record is from RNAcentral.
AAAAAAGGUAAGCUACUAAGAGCGAAUGGUGGAUGCCUUGACUGGUAAAGGCGAUGAAGGACGUACUAGACUGCGAUAAGCUACGGGGAGCUGUCAAGAAGCUUUGAUCCGUAGAUUUCCGAAUGGGGCAACCCAAUGUAUAGAGAUAUACAUUACCUAUAUAGGAGCGAACGAGGGGAAUUGAAACAUCUUAGUACCCUCAGGAAAAGAAAUCAAUAGAGAUUGCGUCAGUAGCGGCGAGCGAAAGCGCAAGAGGGCAAACCCAGUGCUUGCACUGGGGGUUGUAGGACUGCAAUGUGCAAGAGGUAAGUUUAGCAGAACAUUCUGGAAAGUAUAACCAUAGAGGGUGAUAGUCCCGUAUGCGAAAAACAAACCUUAGCUAGCAGUAUCCUGAGUAGGGCGGGACACGAGGAAUCCUGUCUGAAUCCGGGUCGACCACGAUCCAACCCUAAAUACUAAUACCAGAUCGAUAGUGCACAAGUACCGUGAGGGAAAGGUGAAAAGAACUGAGGUGAUCAGAGUGAAAUAGAACCUGAAACCAUUUGCUUACAAUCAUUCAGAGCCCUAUGUAGCAAUACAGGGUGAUGGACUGCCUUUUGCAUAAUGAGCCUGCGAGUUGUGGUGUCUGGCAAGGUUAAGCAAACGCGAAGCCGUAGCGAAAGCGAGUCUGAAUAGGGCGCUUAGUCAGAUGCUGCAGACCCGAAACGAAGUGAUCUAUCCAUGAGCAAGUUGAAGCUAGUGUAAGAACUAGUGGAGGACUGAACCCAUAGGCGUUGAAAAGCCCCGGGAUGACUUGUGGAUAGGGGUGAAAGGCCAAUCAAACUUCGUGAUAGCUGGUUCUCUCCGAAAUAUAUUUAGGUAUAGCGUUGUGUCGUAAUAUAAGGGGGUAGAGCACUGAAUGGGCUAGGGCAUACACCAAUGUACCAAACCCUAUCAAACUCCGAAUACCUUAUAUGUAAUCACAGCAGUCAGGCGGCGAGUGAUAAAAUCCGUCGUCAAGAGGGAAACAACCCAGACUACCAGCUAAGGUCCCUAAAUCUUACUUAAGUGGAAAACGAUGUGAAGUUACUUAAACAACCAGGAGGUUGGCUUAGAAGCAGCCAUCCUUUAAAGAAAGCGUAAUAGCUCACUGGUCUAGUGAUUUUGCGCGGAAAAUAUAACGGGGCUAAAGUAAGUACCGAAGCUGUAGACUUGCACACAACUUAGAUUAUUUAAGUUUAGAAUAUGAGAAACUAAGUUAUAUGUUUAGUUAUAUUUUUACUGAUUUUUAUAGAGUAAAGAUAGAAAUAAAACUUAGUAAAAUCAGUAAAAAUAUUCUUAGACUAAAGUUAAGUAGUUUAAGUUGUGUGCAAGUGGUAGGAGAGCGUUCUAUUUGCGUUGAAGGUAUACCGGUAAGGAGUGCUGGAGCGAAUAGAAGUGAGCAUGCAGGCAUGAGUAGCGAUAAUUAAUGUGAGAAUCAUUAACGCCGUAAACCCAAGGUUUCCUACGCGAUGCUCGUCAUCGUAGGGUUAGUCGGGUCCUAAGUCGAGUCCGAAAGGGGUAGACGAUGGCAAAUUGGUUAAUAUUCCAAUACCAACAUUAGUGUGCGAUGGAAGGACGCUUAGGGCUAAGGGGGCUAGCGGAUGGAAGUGCUAGUCUAAGGUCGUAGGAGGUUAUACAGGCAAAUCCGUAUAACAAUACUCCGAGAACUGAAAGGCUUUUUGAAGUCUUCGGAUGGAUAGAAGAACCCCUGAUGCCGUCGAGCCAAGAAAAGUUUCUAAGUUUAGCUAAUGUUGCCCGUACCGUAAACCGACACAGGUGGGUGGGAUGAGUAUUCUAAGGCGCGUGGAAGAACUCUCUUUAAGGAACUCUGCAAAAUAGCACCGUAUCUUCGGUAUAAGGUGUGGUUAGCUUUGUAUUAGGAUUUACUCCGAAAGCAAGGAAACUUACAACAAAGAGUCCCUCCCGACUGUUUACCAAAAACACAGCACUCUGCUAACUCGUAAGAGGAUGUAUAGGGUGUGACGCCUGCCCGGUGCUCGAAGGUUAAUUGAUGGGGUUAGCAUUAGCGAAGCUCUUGAUCGAAGCCCGAGUAAACGGCGGCCGUAACUAUAACGGUCCUAAGGUAGCGAAAUUCCUUGUCGGUUAAAUACCGACCUGCAUGAAUGGCGUAACGAGAUGGGAGCUGUCUCAAAGAGGGAUCCAGUGAAAUUGUAGUGGAGGUGAAAAUUCCUCCUACCCGCGGCAAGACGGAAAGACCCCGUGGACCUUUACUACAGCUUGACACUGCUACUUGGAUAAGAAUGUGCAGGAUAGGUGGGAGGCUUUGAGUAUAUGACGCCAGUUGUAUAUGAGCCAUUGUUGAGAUACCACUCUUUCUUAUUUGGGUAGCUAACCAGCUUGAGUUAUCCUCAAGUGGGACAAUGUCUGGUGGGUAGUUUGACUGGGGCGGUCGCCUCCCAAAUAAUAACGGAGGCUUACAAAGGUUGGCUCAGAACGGUUGGAAAUCGUUCGUAGAGUAUAAAGGUAUAAGCCAGCUUAACUGCAAGACAUACAAGUCAAGCAGAGACGAAAGUCGGUCUUAGUGAUCCGGUGGUUCUGUGUGGAAGGGCCAUCGCUCAAAGGAUAAAAGGUACCCCGGGGAUAACAGGCUGAUCUCCCCCAAGAGCUCACAUCGACGGGGAGGUUUGGCACCUCGAUGUCGGCUCAUCGCAUCCUGGGGCUGGAGCAGGUCCCAAGGGUAUGGCUGUUCGCCAUUUAAAGCGGUACGCGAGCUGGGUUCAGAACGUCGUGAGACAGUUCGGUCCCUAUCUGCCGUGGGCGUAAGAAGAUUGAAGAGAUUUGACCCUAGUACGAGAGGACCGGGUUGAACAAACCACUGGUGUAGCUGUUGUUCUGCCAAGAGCAUCGCAGCGUAGCUAAGUUUGGAAAGGAUAAACGCUGAAAGCAUCUAAGCGUGAAGCCAACUCUAAGAUGAAUCUUCUCUAAGCUCUCUAGAAGACUACUAGUUUGAUAGGCUGGGUGUGUAAUGGAUGAAAGUCCUUUAGCUGACCAGUACUAAUAGAGCGUUUGGCUUAUCUUUAAUAAAGCAU